AACGAACGCUGGCGGCAUGCUUUACACAUGCAAGUCGAACGGCAGCACGGGGGCAACCCUGGUGGCGAGUGGCGAACGGGUGAGUAACACAUCGGAACGUGUCCAGUUGUGGGGGAUAACCCAUCGAAAGGUGGGCUAAUACCGCAUGAGCUGGCAACAGGAAAGCGGGGACCCGCAAGGGCCUUGUGCGAUUGGAGCGGCCGAUGUCCGAUUAGCUAGUUGGUGGGGUAAAGGCCACCAAGGCUUCGAUCGGUAGCUGGUCUGAGAGGAUGAUCAGCCACACUGGGACUGAGACACGGCCCAGACUCCUACGGGAGGCAGCAGUGGGGAAUUUUGGACAAUGGGGGCAACCCUGAUCCAGCCAUGCCGCGUGAGU
This 376-nucleotide ribosomal RNA is filed under the name uncultured bacterium. RNAcentral's name for it is "bacterial SSU rRNA". It matches the Rfam family "Bacterial small subunit ribosomal RNA", at positions 29 to 406 of the family's 1533-position model. The record is from RNAcentral.